CCUACGGGAGGCUGCAGUGAGGAAUAUUGGUCAAUGGGCGCUAGCCUGAACCAGCCAAGUAGCGUGAAGGAUGACUGCCCUAUGGGUUGUAAACUUCUUUUAUAUAGGAAUAAAGUGCAGUAUGUAUACUGCUUUGCAUGUACCUUAUGAAUAAGGAUCGGCUAACUCCGUGCCAGCAGCCGCGGUAAUACGGAGGAUUCGAGCGUUAUCCGGAUUUAUUGGGUUUAAAGGGAGCGUAGGUGGGUUGUUAAGUCAGUUGUGAAAGUUUGCGGCUCAACCGUAAAAUUGCAGUUGAUACUGGCAGCCUUGAGUACAGUAGAGGUAGGCGGAAUUCGUGGUGUAGCGGUGAAAUGCUUAGAUAUCACGAAGAACUCCGAUUGCGAAGGCAGCCUGCUGGACUGUAACUGACGCUGAUGCUCGAAAGUGUGGGUAUCAAACAGGAUUAGAUACCCUAGUAGUC
RNAcentral lists this ribosomal RNA (460 nucleotides) under uncultured bacterium. RNAcentral's name for it is "partial 16S ribosomal RNA". It matches the Rfam family "Bacterial small subunit ribosomal RNA", at positions 338 to 795 of the family's 1533-position model. The record is from RNAcentral.